UUCGUGAAAGUGGAAGUGAAUAAAAUAAGUGAAGUAAGUGAAAUUAGGAAACUGAGGAAACUUGAGAGAAACCUUCGUUUGUACUCGUCAAGUCCGGAGUCAGAUUCGACAUCGGAAUAUUCCGAUGCCAACAGCGAGUUCUCCCACAAUGGUUACCCAGUUAAAAACAUACUAGGAGGGGACCCGGCUGAAGUCUUAUAGGGCUAAUAUCAAGGACGAUCUGGCGCUAAGGUGAAACACCUACAUAAGACAGGGUCUGGGCAAAUGAACAAAAAAUGACUAGAUGAAUAAAUGGCUCAUUUCAGCAAU
This is a long non-coding RNA of Leptinotarsa decemlineata (Colorado potato beetle), 309 nucleotides long. Lineage: Eukaryota; Metazoa; Arthropoda; Insecta; Coleoptera; Chrysomelidae. The record is from RefSeq and is a predicted model, not a curated record.